RNAcentral lists this ribosomal RNA (113 nucleotides) under Microcaldota archaeon. Lineage: Archaea; Nanobdellati; Microcaldota. The record is from RNAcentral.
UCAAACGGUAACAGAGGCGGGGAAACGCCCGAUCCCAUUCCGAACUCGGAAGCUAAGCCCGCCUUCGAUACGUGUGUACUGGCUUCGGCCGGGAAAGCGUAUUGCUGUUUGGC